ACAAGAGGCAGGUUGCUGAGAGGGUAGGGGCAUUUCCCCCAUGGUUCUCUGCUGGUUCUUUUUGGCCAUGCUGGCCCCUCUGGUGUUAGCCCUGGAACGGUCUCCAGACAUGGUGAUAAAAGAAGGCCAGUCCGUGAAUCUGGAAUGUUCCAAGAAGAAAUCCUCCAGCACAGCUAUGUACUGGUUCAUGCUGCCCUCAAAGAAGAAUUCCAGUCUGACCCUACUGGCUUCUGCAGUAGAAGGUGGUAACCCAGCGGUGGAGAAGGGUUUUGAGAGCCAUUUCAAGAGCAGCAAGAUAAAAGGAGACAGAAUCACCCUCUCAGUAGAACAUGCCUUUCUCAAUGACUCUGGCACAUACUACUGUGCUGAGGGUGAGCACAGUGGUGAUACUGCUGAGGGAGCUGAGCACAAACUUCUUCCUGCAUAUACAGGACCUGCUUUCCACCCUGUGGGUGCUGCACGAGGAUUCUCACUCAUUAGUUCCUCUGCUUCCUAG
Molecule: non-coding RNA, 496 nt
Organism: Vidua chalybeata
Lineage: Eukaryota; Metazoa; Chordata; Aves; Passeriformes; Viduidae
Source: the annotation of a RefSeq genome assembly